Seriola dumerili (greater amberjack) is the source of this 622-nucleotide long non-coding RNA. RefSeq lists it as uncharacterized. The record is from RefSeq and is a predicted model, not a curated record. The transcript has 4 exons. NCBI's taxonomy places the organism in Eukaryota, Metazoa, Chordata, Actinopteri, Carangiformes, Carangidae.
UGAACACUCAAGAGAGAAGCGAUCGGCCUGUAAUAGUUUUGACAUAGUUUUAUUCCUGGUUACAGCGCUGAAAGAUGGAAAAUAACUGUCUCCUGUCGCAGUCGUGCACCUGCCUCUUUCCUGCUUAAGUGGACAGUUUAAUUAAUGUAUUUGGUUACACAGAUGUGUAGCUACACACUUCUAUGAGAUGUUGAUGGGUUCUGAUGUUCAGCUGAACCAGAAACUGUCAACUCUGUAUCUCUGCAAGUUUCCUGCAUGUUGAUGAGAAAGCUGAUAAACAAAAAUGUUGUGAACAAUGAAAACUUGCAGCAAAUCCCCUUUUCUGCCACUGAAGUUGAUUUACAUCACAUUACUCCCAGUUCUGGAGGCACAACGAGUCAAUGUCUGGCCUGAAGUGACUGGAUACCUUGGGCAUGAUGUCACCCUGCCAUGCCAAUUCAUCAAAGGAAAAGAAAAUGCCAAUAUUACACAGGUUCAGUGGGAACUCCUGCAACCAGAAGGAAAACUUAUCACUAUUAUUGUUUUUAGUAGCCAGUUUGGGGUGAACAUUCCUGAAUCUUCUCUGAAGGAGAGACUGGAGAUUACUGAACAAUUGCUGCUAAUUAAAAACGUUGAAAUGAGA